UACGUAGGGGGCAAGCGUUGCUCGGAAUUACUGGGCGUAAAGGGCGCGUAGGCGGGUUGUCAAGUUGGAGGUGAAAGCCCAGGGCUCAACCUUGGAAUUGCCUUCAAAACUGACAACCUGGAGUAUGGAAGAGGUAAGUGGAACUCCGAGUGUAGAGGUGAAAUUCGUAGAUAUUCGGAAGAACACCAGUGGCGAAGGCGACUUACUGGUCCAUGACUGACGCUGAGGCGCGAAAGCGUAGGGAGCAAACAGG
RNAcentral lists this ribosomal RNA (253 nucleotides) under uncultured bacterium. RNAcentral describes it as "partial 16S ribosomal RNA". It matches the Rfam family "Bacterial small subunit ribosomal RNA", at positions 524 to 776 of the family's 1533-position model. The record is from RNAcentral.